GAUGAACGCUGGCGGUGUGCCUAAUACAUGCAAGUCGAGCGAACAGACGAGAAGCUUGCUCCCUUGACGUUAGCGGCUGACGGGUGAGUAACACGUGGAUCACCUACCUAUUUUACUUGGAUAACUUCGGGAAACCGGUGAUGAUACCGCCUAAUAUAUUCAACCGCAGGGUUCAAUAGUUCUUCACGCUUUUGCUGUCACUUAUAGCUGUAUCCGCGUCGCAUUAGCUAGUUGGUAAGGUAACGGCUUACCAAGGCGACGAUGCGUAGCCGACCUGAGAGGGUGAUCAGCCACACUGGAACUGAGACACGGUCCAGACUCCUACGGGAGGCAGCAGUAGGGAAUAUUCCGCAAUGGGCGAAAGCCUGACGGAGCAACACCGCGUGAGUGAUGAAGGUCUUCGGAUCGUAAAGCUCUGUUAUUGGGGAAGAAAAAAUGUGUAAGUAACUAUGCACGUCUUGACGGUACCUAAGCAGAAAGCAACGGCUAACUACGUG
RNAcentral lists this ribosomal RNA (497 nucleotides) under uncultured bacterium. RNAcentral describes it as "partial 16S ribosomal RNA". It matches the Rfam family "Bacterial small subunit ribosomal RNA", at positions 28 to 507 of the family's 1533-position model. The record is from RNAcentral.